Long non-coding RNA from Oncorhynchus tshawytscha (Chinook salmon), 342 nucleotides. Lineage: Eukaryota; Metazoa; Chordata; Actinopteri; Salmoniformes; Salmonidae. The record is from Ensembl.
GUUAGAUUAGUGUCCUGUCCAAGGGUUUAGGGUUAGACUAGUGUCCUGUCCAGGGGGUUAGGGUUAGACUAGUGUCCUGUCCAGGGGGAUAGACUAGUGUCCUGUCCAGGGCUUAGAGUUAGACUAGUGUCCUGUCCAGUGGGUUAGGGUUAGACUCGUGUCCUGUCCAGGGGGUUAGGGUUAGACUAGUGUCCUGUCCAGGGCUUAGGGUUAGACUAGUGUCCUGUCCAGGGGUUAGGGUUAGACUAGUGUCCUGUCCAGGGGGUUAGGGUUAGACUAGUGUCCUGUCCAGGAGGUUAGGGUUAGACUAGUGUCCUGUCCAGGGGGUUAGGGUUAGACUAG